RNAcentral lists this long non-coding RNA (746 nucleotides) under Vulpes vulpes (red fox). Its description in RNAcentral is "lncRNA (ENSVVUG00000021872.1)". The record is from RNAcentral. Lineage: Eukaryota; Metazoa; Chordata; Mammalia; Carnivora; Canidae.
AUGUCACUCCUAAAAGAGCUUCAAGAGCAGUCUUCUUACUUCAGAAGGAUGGUCGCUUUCAAUAGCUGUGAACAUUUUAAAAUCAGUGGGCGUGUGAAGCAAGGCAGCAAGAACCGCCACCUGGGCACCUGGGCAUUGAAGGCUCCAGAGAGGUCUCUGCCAUCUUUGGUCUUUCAAGAAUGUUUAAGGCAUCAGCCAUGACUGCUUCUUGAGGAAACCUCUUCCUGCUGCUAAUAAUGCAAACUGCUUCUGAUUUAUAGCUUCAAAUACUUUAGGUAAUACCAAUAACUUUAGGGUCAGUAGUGCCUGCAGAGCAUAGCCUUGUUAAUCAGUCAAAAUGAUUUCAUGUGUUUUCUUAGAAGCAUCAGAAAGGGCAAAGGAUUUAUGGGUGAUACCAUUUUAUGUGCCACUGUGGUGUACAAUAUUGUCAUCAUGUGUUAAAACCAGCAAUGGUCUUCAUUGAUUUUAAUCAUAGUCAUAACCACCUCAUUCUCUCCGGGGCCCCCCCCUAUAAAAAAGAUAAAAGAAAUCUGAAGACAUUUUAUAUGACGACUUAAAAUACUUUUAGUCAUUAUAACUUUUUAAAUGCUUUCAUAGUCAGCCAAGAUAAAGUGCCACUUCUCACAGAUCAUAUGUCUUUCUCACUAAAAUUCCAACUAGAGACACUUAAGGCUAUUGAAAUGAGAGCAUUUUAAAUGUGGACGGGGCUUAAUAAAUAACCACCUCUGAAGAGACUUAUUUGCCUC